Molecule: transfer RNA, 74 nt
Filed under: Planctomycetota bacterium
Lineage: Bacteria; Pseudomonadati; Planctomycetota
Description: Planctomycetes bacterium (groundwater metagenome) tRNA-Arg
Rfam family: tRNA
About the family: Transfer RNA (tRNA) molecules are approximately 80 nucleotides in length. Their secondary structure includes four short double-helical elements and three loops (D, anti-codon, and T loops).
Source: RNAcentral
GUGCCCGUAGCUCAGCUGGAUAGAGCGUCGGUUUCCUAAACCGAAGGUCAUGCGUUCGAAUCGCAUCGGGCAUA